CCUACGGGCGGCAGCAGUGGGGAAUAUUGGACAAUGGGGGCAACCCUGAUCCAGCCAUGCCGCGUGUGUGAAGAAGGCCCUCGGGUUGUAAAGCACUUUCAGUGAGGAAGAACGCCUGGUGGUUAAUACCCAUCAGGAAAGACAUCACUCACAGAAGAAGCACCGGCUAACUCCGUGCCAGCAGCCGCGGUAAUACGGAGGGUGCGAGCGUUAAUCGGAAUUACUGGGCGUAAAGCGCGCGUAGGUGGCUUGAUAAGCCGGUUGUGAAAGCCCCGGGCUCAACCUGGGAACGGCAUCCGGAACUGUCAAGCUAGAGUGCAGGAGAGGAAGGUAGAAUUCCCGGUGGAGCGGUGAAAUGCGUAGAGAUCGGGAGGAAUACCAGUGGCGAAGGCGGCCUUCUGGACUGACACGACCACUGAGGUGGGAAAGCGUGGGUAGCAAACAGGAUUGGAUCCCCCUGUGGCC
Molecule: ribosomal RNA, 465 nt
Filed under: Vreelandella stevensii
Lineage: Bacteria; Pseudomonadati; Pseudomonadota; Gammaproteobacteria; Oceanospirillales; Halomonadaceae
Description: partial 16S ribosomal RNA
Rfam family: Bacterial small subunit ribosomal RNA
Source: RNAcentral